Molecule: ribosomal RNA, 447 nt
Filed under: uncultured bacterium
Lineage: Bacteria
Description: partial 16S ribosomal RNA
Rfam family: Bacterial small subunit ribosomal RNA
Source: RNAcentral
GUCCAGACUCCUACGGGAGGCAGCAGUGGGGGAUAUUGCACAAUGGGGGGAACCCUGAUGCAGCGACGCCGCGUGGGUGAAGGAGUAUUUCGGUAUGUAAAGCCCUAUCGGCAGGGAAGAAGAAAGACGGUACCUGACUAAGAAGCCCCGGCUAACUACGUGCCAGCAGCCGCGGGAAUACGUAGGGGGCGAGCGUUAUCCGGAUUCACUGGGUGUAAAGGGAGCGUAGACGGCAGUGCAAGUCCGGAGUGAAAGCCCGGGGCUCAACCCUGGGACUGCUCUGGAAACUGUAAAGCUGGAGUGCGGGAGGGGCAGGCGGAAUUCCUGGUGUAGCGGUGAAAUGCGUAGAUAUUAGGAGGAACACCAGUGGCGAAGGCGGCCUGCUGAACGAUGACUGACGUUGAGGCUCGAAAGCGUGGGGAGCAAACAGGAUUAGAUACCCUGGUA